GGGGAGUUAGCUCAGUUGGUAGAGCGCCACAAUGGCAUUGUGGAGGUCAUGGGUUCGAUUCCCUUACUCUCCACCA
This 76-nucleotide transfer RNA is filed under the name Planctomycetota bacterium. Its description in RNAcentral is "tRNA-Ala". It matches the Rfam family "tRNA". From Rfam's summary of the family: Transfer RNA (tRNA) molecules are approximately 80 nucleotides in length. Their secondary structure includes four short double-helical elements and three loops (D, anti-codon, and T loops). Lineage: Bacteria; Pseudomonadati; Planctomycetota. The record is from RNAcentral.